ACAUAUGUUCGUGCUUCUGUUUCCCAGGAAAAUCAAGUGUCAUUCAUCAAUAGAAAAGGUGUGCCGACACAGAAUGUAAUGGCCGCAUGUAGUUUUGAUAUGCAAUUCACUUUUGUUUGGGCAGGAUGGAAAGGUAGCGCUCAUGAUACUCGUAUUUUUCUAGAGGCUAUUGACAAUCCAAAUAUCAAAUUUCCAAAACCUCCUGAAGGAAAAUAUUAUUAGUUGAUGCUGGGUAUCCAAAUAAGUAUAGAUAUCUUAGUCCAUAUAAAGGUGAGAGAUAUCACUUCCAAGAGUUUCGGCGUCGAGGGCAAACAACCAGCUAGGAAGAGCGAUUCAAUCGUGAACACUCGUCACUUCGCAAUGUCAUUGAACAUGCAUUUGGAGUGUGGAAACAAAGGUGGAGAAUUUUACAGAACACGUCGGCAUAUCCAUACAAAUUACAAGUGCAGAUUGUAGUGGCAUCAAUGACACUACAUAACUAUAUUAGGAGGAAGUCACAAGAAGAUUUUGCAUUUACUGAAUAUGAUCGCAAUCCUAAUUUUAUUC
This is a long non-coding RNA of Populus euphratica (Euphrates poplar), 546 nucleotides long. RefSeq lists it as uncharacterized. Lineage: Eukaryota; Viridiplantae; Streptophyta; Magnoliopsida; Malpighiales; Salicaceae. The transcript has 2 exons. The record is from RefSeq and is a predicted model, not a curated record.